Molecule: long non-coding RNA, 1049 nt
Organism: Oncorhynchus keta (chum salmon)
Lineage: Eukaryota; Metazoa; Chordata; Actinopteri; Salmoniformes; Salmonidae
Exons: 6
Source: RefSeq, a predicted model, not a curated record
UUCUGAGUUAAAUAACAGACUGGAGGACCAGAGAAAGGUUCUGAGUUAAAUAACAGACUGGAGAACCAGAGAAAGGUUCUGAGUUAAAUAACAGACUGGAGGACCAGAGAAAGGUUCUGAGUUAAAUAACAGACUGGAGAACCAGAGAAAGGUUCUGAGUUAAAUAACAGACUGGAGAACCAGAGAAAGGUUCUGAGUUAAAUAACAGACUGGAGAACCAGAGAAAGGUUCUGGGUUAAAUAACAGACUGGAGGACCAGAGAAAGGUUCUGGGUUAAAUAACAGACUGGAGGACCAGAGAAAGGUUCUGAGUUAAAUAACAGACUGGAGGACCAGAGAAAGGUUCUGAGUUAAAUAACAGACUGGAGGACCAGAGAAAGGUUCUGAGUUAAAUAACAGACUGGAGGACCAGAGAAAGGUUCUGAGUUAAAUAAAAGAGAAACCAGAGAAAUGUUCUGUGUUAAAUAACAGACUGGAGGACCAGAGAAAGGUUCUGGGUUAAAUAACAGACUGGAGAACCAGAGAAAGGUUCUGAGUUAAAUAACAGACUGGAGGACCAGAGAAAGGUUCUGAGUUAAAUAACAGACUGGAGAACCAGAGAAAGGUUCUGAGUUAAAUAACAGACUGGAGAACCAGAGAAAGGUUCUGUGUUAAAUAACAGACUGGAGGACCAGAGAAAGGUUCUGAGUUAAAUAACAGACUGGAGGACCAGAGAAAGGUUCUGAGUUAAAUAACAGACUGGAGGACCAGAGAAAGGUUCUGAGUUAAAUAACAGACUGGAGGACCAGAGAAAGGUUCUGAGUUAAAUAACAGACUGGAGGACCAGAGAAAGGUUCUGAGUUAAAUAACAGACUGGAGGACCAGAGAAAGGUUCUGAGUUAAAUAACAGACUGGAGAACCAGAGAAAGGUUCUGAGUUAAAUAACAGACUGGAGAACCAGAGAAAGGUUCUGAGUUAAAUAACAGACUGGAGAACCAGAGAAAGGUUCUGAGUUAAAUAACAGACUGGAGAACCAGAGAAAGGUUCUGAGUUAAAUAACAGACUGGAGGA